This 1340-nucleotide long non-coding RNA is filed under the name Homo sapiens (human). Its description in RNAcentral is "non-protein coding lnc-GAP43-13:1". Lineage: Eukaryota; Metazoa; Chordata; Mammalia; Primates; Hominidae. The record is from RNAcentral.
CUCCAGGUUUCAGAAUCACUGGACCAUUAGACCACAUCAGCACUGGACCCAGCUAAAGGGCAGAGAUUCAGAGAUCCCCAACUGUGACUAGUUGUGCAAGAAGCAUGCAGAAUGAUGAGAAACCUACAGCUCAGAAAAGAAACAAAUCGUCUAUAUGGAAGUCCAGUCUUGCUGUGGAAAGGCUCAGAAAAACAAGACCCUUAGCAUAUCUCAGGGAACUGAAAGGCUGUGGGGAAACCAACAGCUUGCUGCAACCACAGCCACAAGUCAGGUAAGCAUUGAGCCUGACAGCUCAGGAAAAUGACCCACUUCUUGCCAACUCAGACAAAAAGGCUUCACUUAGGCCUAGGGAAACUGUCUCUAAUAAGGCCAUCUGUUAACCGUGUCGCCUGAGUCCCUCUCAGCAAUUCCUCAUUCCCUCCCUUUCCACCUUCCACCCUGAAGCCAGACAUUAAGGCAGCAGAGACUGAGUAAAAUCAAGCUGUUGGGCUCAGUAAACAUUACUGAGCUCCAUGAGGGAACACGGUCCCAUUUUUUAGGUUCCCAUGUCCAAGGCACAUUUUGAUCACAUUCAUUUAGCAGAGAGGUGAAGGAAGAAAGCAUGCUGGCUGUGCAGCAGCAUCGUGCUGCAUCCCCUUGCUUAGGCAAAGUCAUAACAGACAGCAAAAAAUAAGAACUUGGCUACAGUUCCCAAGGGUUUGAACCUGAAUACACAGAACACGAGAAACCACACAACUCAGGAAGAAAGCACUGGGCAAGUGUUCAGAGGCCUUAUUGACAAUGGGCCCGCUCUCCUAUUGACUUGAUUUGUAACACAUAAAGUCACUUAAAUCAGGGGUCCCCAGCCCCAUACUGGUCUGUGCCCUGUUAGGAACCCAGCUGCACAGCAGGAGGUAAGGGGCAGGCCUGAGCUCCACCUCCUGUCAGAUCAGCAGCAGCAUUAGAUCCUCAUAGGAGCGUGAACCCUUUUGUGAACUGCGCAUAUGAAGGAUCUAGGUUGCAUGCUUCUUAUGAGAAUCUAACUAAUACCUGAUGAUCUGAGACUCUAACUAAUACUUGAUGAUCUGAAGUUUCAUCCCAAAACCACUCCCCCUACCCCAGUUUGUGGAAAAAUCGCCUUCUAUGAAACCAGCCCCUGGUGCCAAAAAGUUUGGGGAUGGCUGACUUAAACUUCUAGCAAUGAUCUGUCAAGUCUCUUCAUCUCAUCACAUAAGUCGGCAUGUAAUAUUCACAAAAGACCAAUCCAACCUCUGAAAACGAAAUGCUCAUUUUGGGGAAGUGACUUAACUCUUCCAGCUCAUCUCUGUCCCUCUUAAUAAAAAAGGAAAAAUAAAAAUAAA